This 76-nucleotide transfer RNA is filed under the name Gammaproteobacteria bacterium. Its description in RNAcentral is "tRNA-Thr". It matches the Rfam family "tRNA". From Rfam's summary of the family: Transfer RNA (tRNA) molecules are approximately 80 nucleotides in length. Their secondary structure includes four short double-helical elements and three loops (D, anti-codon, and T loops). Lineage: Bacteria; Pseudomonadati; Pseudomonadota; Gammaproteobacteria. The record is from RNAcentral.
GCCGCCUUAGCUCAUUUGGUAGAGCAGUUGUUUUGUAAUCAGCAGGUAGUCAGUUCGAUUCUGACAGGCGGCUCCA